CCGUGGGCUUAGUAAAAUCGGUACAAGGUUCCAUAAAUCCACUCAACACUAGAGAUUCCGCAAACCCUGUAACUAUUCUCUUCCCUUCUCUCUCAGGUCUACCUUGCCCUUUCCGUCGACGGUGGCUCUGCGUUGGUUGAGAAAUAGUUUCUGUACAUUGGGGGCAGCAAGGGAAAAAGAAGAAGAAGAAGGAAGUUUGGUGUUUAAGGUGACUAGGUUGGUUUCUGGGCUAAUAUGGAGCUUGUUUAUGUGGGUAGUUCUGAAUUUGUUAAUGACGAGAGACUAGCCAGGCGAUUGAAGAGAAAGGGACUUGCUACUGGAAAUUCUGAGCCUAAUACUUCUAGUAGUAGAUUAAAGAGAACACGGGAAGAAAAUCGAUUGGGUCGCGAAACUGAUGAUGAUUUCAGGCCUAAUACUUCUAGUAGUAGAUUAAAGAGAACAGGGGAAGAAAAUCGAUUGGGUUGCGAAACUGAUGACGAUUUUGGGUCGCAUAUGAAUGAUAGAGAAUUAGCUGACCUUGUCGGGGAAGGUGGUGGUGAUGAUCUUCCUGAUGAAGAAGAUGACAUGGACCCUAAAUAUAAGAUGUUCUUGGAGAAUUUGAGUGAAGAUGGAAAUUCAUAUAGACUGGAGGUAACUGUGUUGAACGGGAGGUCUUUAUUGAUAAGAUAUGAAAAGGAGUGUGAGUUGGAUAACGAGCUUGAGCUGCAAACUGCAAGAAAAUCAGGGGAUUGUUUGAAUAUAAAGAAGAUAGAAGUUCGUAAAGAUGUGAGUGAUGUUUUGAGCAAAGACAAGAUUGAAACUCAAAAGAAUUCGAGGAACGUUCUUGGGAAAGAUAUGAUGGAAAGCCCCAAAAGUUUGGAAAAUGGUAGGGUGGAUAAAUGCUACCGAGAAUUCCUGAAUUGUAUCGAACUGGAAGGUGAUUGUAUUGUUUUUGUGACUGAUAAUGGAAAGAGGGUAAACUAUGAAGAGGAUGUUGAUAGUUCUUCUGAUGUAGAAAUAAUAGAGAUGGAUAAUGCUCCAUCAAAGAAUCCAUUUGUUACUUCAAGAAUGUUUGAUUCAUCUAUGGAGGGUGACAAACGGGUGGGACUUCCAAGGGAAAGUAAACGUUCUCAGUUCAGGGAGAAAGUCAUGGAUAUUCUCAGAAAACCUUUUGACCAGGAGGAGUAUGAAGAGCUUUUGCAUAAUAUAAAGGAGUUAAAGCCUGUGGAACGUAAUAUAGACUUGCGUUCGGGACCACUAUCAUACCAUGCAAGUAAUAGCUUCAAAUCAUAUCUUGAUCACUUUGUUGAUCUUAAAAGCAAGAUUAAUGAAGCCCGAUUUGAUCGUCGUAAAGAGCUGACUCUCUUACGUGGUUUUUUCUAUUGGUUGCAGGUAAAGUGCUGCCCGCUGCGGUCUCGAUAGUAGUUUCAUGCCCAUUUCUUGUCAAUGAGUUUGACUAUAGAAUGUGACCCGUGAAGGAGCAUUCCGACCUUGGUUAGACAGCUCGUGUUUGGAGGUGAUGCCAGGAAAUCGCUAGAUACUUCUGCCUCCACUUUGGUGAUUUUGUGAGUGUUUGACAAGGGUCUUUCUGCGCUCACUGCAAGCUUCUUGAUCACUUAUAAGGCACAAACCACUGAAGUUAUGCAUCAAUGUGUGUCGAACUGGCAUUUCGUUGACUUUUAUUUUAUUUCUCGUUCAAACUUCUUGUUUUACAUCUUGAAGAUGGUUAUCGUUGUAAUCAAAUUCUGUGAUUGUAUGCGAAGUUAGUAAAUUCAUGCUGUAUCUCAAUUCCCAAUAAGCAGCUUUGCCAUUGACAAUUU
Cornus florida is the source of this 1799-nucleotide RNA transcript. RefSeq lists it as uncharacterized. The record is from RefSeq and is a predicted model, not a curated record. The transcript has 7 exons. NCBI's taxonomy places the organism in Eukaryota, Viridiplantae, Streptophyta, Magnoliopsida, Cornales, Cornaceae.